This 401-nucleotide transfer-messenger RNA is filed under the name Anaerolineae bacterium. It matches the Rfam family "transfer-messenger RNA". From Rfam's summary of the family: Bacterial tmRNA, also known as 10Sa RNA or SsrA, is named for its dual tRNA and mRNA-like properties. Its role is to liberate the mRNA from a stalled ribosome. Lineage: Bacteria; Bacillati; Chloroflexota; Anaerolineae. The record is from RNAcentral.
GGGGAUGACUGGCUUCGACAGGAGAGGCUGGCUCCGGAAUGCGAGCCGAGAGGCGCCGACCUCGAUAACUCAGCGCAAAAAAUCAAGUGCCAACCGCACUUCCUACGCCGCUAUGCCCCUCGCUGCCUAAUCCGCAGUAGAGAGUUAACCGGUCCGUCCCCAAGGGGACGGCGUCCACCGUUCCCGUCCCCAUCCCGGAGAGCGAGUGGGCGUCAAAAAGGGUGGGUGCCGCGUCUGACGGUCACGCAUGACGCGAAAGAGGGCCUUCGGGCCUGAGUGAAUGGUCGCAGGUGGUUUUGCCGAUUGAGCAGCCUGUGGCGACACGCGUCAACCGGCUACGCUCGUAGAUGUCCGCGGGUUGAAUCUUUUGGACGCGGGUUCGAUUCCCGCCAUCUCCACUC